AACGAACGCUGGCGGCGUGGAUAAGACAUGCAAGUCGAACGGAUUUAGUCUUGUAGCAAUACAAGGCUGAGUCAGUGGCGCAAGGGUGCGUAACACGUGGGCAACCUGCCCUGGAGACUGGGAUAGCCCGCCGAAAGGCGGAUUAAUACCGGAUGCGGCUACCGAAGGAUUCUUCGGGACGCUAAAGGUGGCGCAAGCUACCGCUCCUGGAUGGGCCCGCGGCCUAUCAGCAGUUGGUGAGGUUACGGCUCACCAAGGCGAUGACGGGUAGCUGGUCUGAGAGGACGACCAGCCACACUGGAACUGAGACACGGUCCAGACACCUACGGGUGGCAGCAGUCGAGAAUUUUUCUCAAUGGGGAAACCCUGAAGGAGCGACGCCGCGUGGAGGAUGAAGGUCUUCGGAUUGUAAACUCCUGUCAUUGGUGAACAAGACAUUGCCGUUUAACUGCGGGUGGUGUUUGAUAGUAGCCGAAGAGGAAGGGACGGCUAACUCUGUGCCAGCC
This 506-nucleotide ribosomal RNA is filed under the name uncultured bacterium. RNAcentral's name for it is "bacterial SSU rRNA". It matches the Rfam family "Bacterial small subunit ribosomal RNA", at positions 29 to 513 of the family's 1533-position model. The record is from RNAcentral.